This 29-nucleotide small RNA is filed under the name Bombyx mori (domestic silkworm). RNAcentral's name for it is "ovarian small RNA-6323". The record is from RNAcentral. Lineage: Eukaryota; Metazoa; Arthropoda; Insecta; Lepidoptera; Bombycidae.
UAGCAAAUUUUUCACAAAAGCGUGCGCGC